RNAcentral lists this ribosomal RNA (462 nucleotides) under uncultured bacterium. RNAcentral's name for it is "partial 16S ribosomal RNA". It matches the Rfam family "Bacterial small subunit ribosomal RNA", at positions 28 to 507 of the family's 1533-position model. The record is from RNAcentral.
GACGAACGCUGGCGGCGUGCUUAACACAUGCAAGUCGAGCGGAAAGGCCCUUCGGGGUACUCGAGCGGAGAACGGGUGAGUAACACGUGAGUAACCUGCCCCAGACUUUGGGAUAACCCUCGGAAACGGGGGCUAAUACCGGAUACGACACAGCUUCGCAUGGGGUCUGUGUGGAAAGUUGUUCGGUUUGGGAUGGGCUCGCGGCAUAUCAGCUUGUUGGUGGGGUGAUGGCGUACCAAGGCGACGACGGGUAGCCGGCCUGAGAGGGCGACCGGCCAUACUGGGACUGAGACACGGCCCAGACUCCUACGGGAGGCAGCAGUGGGGAAUAUUGCACAAUGGGCGGAAGCCGUAUGCAGCGACGCCGCGUGAGGGAUGACGGCCUUCGGGUUGUAAACCUCUUUCAGCAGGGACGAAGCGUAAGUGACGGUACCUGCAGAAGAAGCGCCGGCCAACUACGUG